AAGAUUAGAUUUCCCUGAGGGUCGUCAUAGACGAUGACGUUGAUAGGAUGCAGGUGUAUAGGUGGAGACACCACAGCCGAGCAUUACUAAUUGCCCGAGGCUUUC
RNAcentral lists this ribosomal RNA (105 nucleotides) under Bacteroides gallinaceum. Its description in RNAcentral is "partial 23S ribosomal RNA". It matches the Rfam family "Bacterial large subunit ribosomal RNA", at positions 2801 to 2925 of the family's 2925-position model. Lineage: Bacteria; Pseudomonadati; Bacteroidota; Bacteroidia; Bacteroidales; Bacteroidaceae. The record is from RNAcentral.